RNAcentral lists this ribosomal RNA (499 nucleotides) under uncultured Glomeromycotina. RNAcentral describes it as "partial small subunit ribosomal RNA". It matches the Rfam family "Eukaryotic small subunit ribosomal RNA", at positions 591 to 1092 of the family's 1831-position model. The record is from RNAcentral. Lineage: Eukaryota; Fungi; Glomeromycota.
CCAAUAGCGUAUAUUAAAGUUGUUGCAGUUAAAAAGCUCGUAGUUGAAUUUCGAGACCGGCUUAUUGGUCGUGCUUUUGUACGUACUGGUAUAAUCGGUUUCUCCUUUCUGACGAACUAUAAUGCCAUUAAUUUGGUGUUAUAGGGAAUCAGGACUGUUACUUUGAAAAAAUUAGAGUGUUUAAAGCAGGCUCACGCUUGAAUACAUUAGCAUGGAAUAACGGAAUAGGACGUUUGAUUCUAUUUUGUUGGUUUCUAGGAUCGACGUAAUGAUUAAUAGGGAUAGUUGGGGGCAUUAGUAUUCAAUUGUCAGAGGUGAAAUUCUUGGAUUUAUUGAAGACUAACUACUGCGAAAGCAUUUGCCAAGGAUGUUUUCAUUAAUCAAGAACGAAAGUUAGGGGAUCGAAGACGAUCAGAUACCGUCGUAGUCUUAACCAUAAACUAUGCCGACUAGGGAUCGGAUGAUGUUAAUUUUUUAAUGACUCAUUCGGCGCCUUACG